Molecule: ribosomal RNA, 374 nt
Filed under: uncultured eukaryote
Lineage: Eukaryota
Description: partial 18S ribosomal RNA
Rfam family: Eukaryotic small subunit ribosomal RNA
Source: RNAcentral
CAAGAGCGUAUGUAAAAGUUGUUGCAGUUAAAAAGCUCGUAGUUGAACCUUGGGUUUGGUUGGCCGGUCCGCUUUUUUGCGAGUACUGGAUUCAACCGAGCCUUUCCUUCUGGCUAACCAGUCGUUUCGGCGGCUGGCGAACCAGGAUGUUUACUUUGAGAAAAUUAGAGUGUUCAAAGCAGGCAUUAGCUUGAAUAUAUUAGCAUGGAAUAAUAGAAUAGGACGUUAUGGUUCUAUUUUGUUGGUUUCUAGGACCAUCGUAAUGAUUAAUAGGGACGGUCGGGGGCAUCAGUAUUCAGUUGUCAGAGGUGAAAUUCUUGGAUUUACUGAAGACUAACUACUGCGAAAGCAUUUGCCAAGGACGUUUUCAUUAA